Molecule: long non-coding RNA, 4323 nt
Filed under: Trifolium pratense (red clover)
Lineage: Eukaryota; Viridiplantae; Streptophyta; Magnoliopsida; Fabales; Fabaceae
Description: long non-coding RNA (TPRA_LNC002351)
Source: RNAcentral
UAUAAGUGCAAAUAAUUCAAACAAAUAAACAAGACAUGGUACUUUUAUUACAUAAAGUGACCAAUACAUUUCUAUCUGUUGCAAACUUUGAAGAAAAAAUAUGGCUGAAAUUUUUAAGUUUGUUUAUUUAAUAUUUCUCUUUAUUUCCUUAUUUUUUGUCGACGUUACUGGUAAACAAAUCUUGUACUCUUUUAAUUUGAACUUUCUUAUUUAUCUUGUACAAAAUAACUCACUUCUUUCAGUAAUUUCUUUUAUUACAGCAACAAGAUUAUUGAGAAGUUGCAAGAGGGAUAUUGAUUGUUUCCUGUGGUAUUGUAUACCUCCUUUUGCUCCAAAAUGCAUUUCUUCUAAAUGUAAGUGUGGAAUUAAAAGUAAACUCGAUCCAUUCUAAGAGAUUUAUAUUGUAAUCUCAAAUUAAGGGAGGGAAUUAAAAUUUUAUUUGAGAUAGGCAUUAGAGCUCCUAUGAUUAAUUAAUAAUAGAAAUUAUUCUCUUCAGUUGAUGUACUCUACAAUGUGGAAAAGAAUUUAUUCAAAAAAACAAUAAUAUUGAAAAGAAAGAGUAACUGAAAUUAUUCUCUUUAGGUGAUAUUUUAUUUAGACACCAGAAGAUUCAAGUUGAAACAUCGGAAUAAAUGUACAUGAAUUUAUAAAUGGCAAAAUGGGUGAACCGUCCAGACCCCAUUACCAUUAUGUAAAAAAUGGUGACAAGACGGGCCAACUAGAAGUAGUGAGUUGAAUAUCACACUUUUGGCUGACGGGUUGUCGGGCAACCCCACCAAGUUCUUAAGUAAAAUUUUAUUAAUUAAAAAACUUACAAAGAUAAUAUAUAAAAAUAAUUAAAUUAAAGAAUAUUUUAUAUAACAAAAAUAUGUAUUUAUUGAGUCUAUAAAAAUUAUCAUUUUGAAGCUAGAUUCAUAAUACGUCAUAAAAUAUCUAGAAUAAUACAACAAGACAGCAAAAAUAAAUAGUUAAUGAGUUUACCAAUUCAAAAAAUAUUAAUAACACGAGUUUAAAGGCAUAAAACUAGAGUAAUAUACAAAGUUACUUUAGUCAAAAUAUUAAAGAAGUUUUUCUUUUCUUUCUAUUUUAUAAAUCAAAUAUAAGAGAAAAUAUAAAAAAUCGAAAAUAUAAAUCAAUUAUUUGUAAUUAAUACGUCAAAAGAUCGAAGAUAAAACAUUUAAUUUUAUUACUACUAAGCACGACUUGUCAACCCACUCCGCCAGUGUCGAGAUCACUUAAGAGAGAGGAUCCCAAACAGUUACGAUGCUUGAAUGGGCACAAUAAGAUAAGUUAAAGUUAACUAUAUAUAUAAGUGAUGCAUAAUUUUAGGCAUCAACCGACAAACUUAGCGAUGAAUGUUGAUAUCAGAACUAUAAGAUUAGACGAGUAUUUUGAAAACAAAAGUUCAAAUUCUCUUGAGGUGAAUAGGGUAAUUUAACUUAAUAGAUUCUAACAAUAUGAUAAGCCAUAAGAAAAAAUAUAUUUAAUACUUACCUGUCUUUGUUAAUCGAUAUUUUUAUUACGACCAUAAAACCGUGCAAUAGUUGUGUGUUCGAUAUUUUAUAAUAAACUUUUAAAUAUUUUAAUACUAUAAUGUCUACUUUAAUAUGUAACCGAUGACGUGAAAGCCUGACUAUGUUUUUAUAGAAAAUUAUUUUUCGAAAAAAUAAAAUUCAACUAUUCUGUGCUUUUUUAUUUCAUCAAUUUAAAUUUUUUUAUUUUUUUUUAAUUGUUUGCCCCUAUGUAUAAUAAAAAUGUAUAUAUUAAAUAAGAGGAAAAUAAUGAAAGAUCGUCCUUAUCCAUUGUGCGAGCUAAAUAGACAAAUAUGAAAAUUUGGUUAAUUAUCUAAAAUACAUUUAAUAAUGAUUCUAAUGCUAAGAAGUUUUGUUGAAGAUCUAUAUAUAAGUGCAAAUAAUUGAAACAAAUAAACAAGACAUAGUAGUUUUAUUACAUAAAGUGCCAAUACAUUUGCAAAUUUUGAAGAAAAAAUAUGGCUGAAAUUUUAAAGUUUAUUUAUUUAAUAAUCCUCUUCAUUUCCUUAUUUCUUGUUGUAACUGACGUUACUGGUAAAUAAAUUUUGUACUCUUUUGAACUUUUUUAUUUAUCUUAUAUACUACAAAAUAACUCACCUCUUUCAGGAACUUUGUUUUUAUUACAGCAGCAAGGGUCUUGAUACCAUGCAAGGAAACAAUUGAUUGUUUCUGGUGGUUUUGUAUAUCUCCUUUGGUUCCAAAAUGCACUUCUUUUAAAUGCAAGUGUGUGGAAUUAAUAAAAGUAAACUCGGUCGAUUGUAAGAGAUUUAUAUUGUAAUCUCAAAUUAAAGGACGGAAUUAAAAUAGAAAUUAUUCUCUGUAGUUGAUGUACUCUACAAUAUGGAAAAGAAUUUACGCAAAAAUAAUGAAAAGAAAGAGUAGCUGAAAUAAUAUAAUAUAUUUUAUUUAUACACCGGAAACUUCAAAUUGAAAUAUGGUUGGUAAAACGGGUCCAUUCUGGCCCCGUCGGCAAUCCGUAAAAUAUGGUGUAAGACAAGACGGGCCAAUUAGAAGAAGUGGUUGAAUAUCUCACUCGGGAGUAACAUGAGUUUAAAGACAUAAAACUAGAGUAAUAUAAACAGUAAAAAAGAAAACUAGGGUAAUAUAAAAAAUUACUUUAGUGAAAACAUUAAAGAAAUUAAUUAUUUCUUUUCUUUCUAUUUUAUAAGUCAAAUAUAAGGUAAAUGUAAAAAGUUGUUUGUAAUUUAUACGUUAAAAAGAGGUUAAAAAAUUUAAUUUUAUUACUACUAAGUUCGACGGGUCAAAAAAUGAGAGGUAGCGGGAGACAAUGUAAGAGAAAGCGUAGGAAGAAACAUAUUCUUUUUUAUAGCUGGUUCUGCCUCUCUCUUUUGGUGGUUGUAGCGGUUUCUAAUUUCUGGGAGUUUUUAUAUGGUGUUUUACAUUGUGUAUCUCUUUUUUCUUACCUUGUCUUUAUUUUAUCAUUGAAUACUUGUAAUAAUUCUUAUUUUUACUAGGACUCCUGCGAGUUCAUAUUAAUAAAAAUUAAGUUUUCAUAAACUACCUAGAAAAAACUUUUAAUAGUACAUAAAGUUUAUUUAUUUAUACGCAUAAGUUUUUUUCUUAAAUUCAAAAAUAAGUUGAUGAAGAUGAAGAGAUGAAGAUGCUCCCACCAAGAUGAUGCUCGAACGGGCACUCAACGGGCAUAGUUAAAUAAGUUAACUAUAAGAACAUGUUGGAUAAUUUUAGGUAUCAACCGACGAACUUAGCGAUGUAUGUUGGUAUCAGAACUAUAAGACUAGACAAGUGUUUUGAAAACACAAGUUCAAAUUAUCUUGAGGUGAAUAGGGUAAUUUAACUUAAUAUAUAACAAUAUGAUAAGCCAUAAGAAAAAAUAUAUUUAAUACUUACAUGUCUCUGUUAAUCGAUAUUUUUACUACGAUUAUAAAGGUGAAAUUUUAGUCGUUAAUCUACUUAACAAAAAAUAUAUAACUGAGACAAUUAAUUUCACUUUUAUUAGGCUAAUUCAACAAAUGAUCGAGAUUGGGCUGAAUUUUCACUAUGUACAAUGGUUAAUAUAGUGAUUAUUCUUGAACUUACAACUUGAAGCUUCUAGUGUCCAAAUAAAAUAUCAUAGUGUUUCAGCUACUAAUUAUUUUCCAUAUUUAUGUGCAACUUUUGUUUUCUUACUUUCCUGGAGUAUUUCGUAGGCUCUAAAAUGAGUUAUUUCAAUAAAAAAUUGUUGAUUAAAAAAAGUUGAAAUAGAUAGAGAAAAACACUAUUAUAAUAACAGUAUUUUUUAAGCUCAUUUUAUAACUAUCCUAGAUGAAAUUUUAACUUCGUCCUUUAAAAUUACAAUAUCAAUUUUUUACGACAUUUACAUUUAAAAGAAAUACAUUUUGGAAGUAUAGGAGGUACACACAAAAACCGAGGACAGUCGUAAUCAUCUCUGCACUUUUGGCCCCGCAUUUCUGUAGUAUAAAAAUAACAAAUAUAUAUUACUAAUUAAAAUGGUGAAUUAUUUUGUAUAAGAUAAACAUGAAAAUUCAAAAGGAUACAUGAAUUUGUUUACCUGUAAUAUUAACUACAACAACAAAUAAAGAAAUAGAUAGGAUUAAUAAAUAAACAAACUUAAUAAUUUCACCCAUAUAAAUAAACUAGGAAUGCCUAGUUUUAAACUAUGUUUUUCUUAAUAGAGUUUUGGUUUGGUCCCCUCCAUUUGUACUUGCUUCUUUUAUUUUAUAAUAUUUUGUGUGGUGGUUAGCUCUUUGCUUCCACCUUUUGAUCAAAAAAAAAAAAAUUCACCCAUAUAUUUUGUUUGAAUAAACUUGNN